GCACAAAGUCAUUGGCUGACUGAAGAUUCUCUGUCGUCGAAUAUUCGAAUCUCUACACUAGAAAUUAAGCAAGAAUGAUCUUUCGUCUAAACGUUUGUUUGUUGUUGAUCUUUGUGACUGGCGUUGCUCUUGGUGCUCGUCAUGAGCAAGAUACGCAAGGGCAAGUGAUUAAUUUGUGUUUUGCGAACGGUGGAAGUUGUGUGUCACCACAGGUCACCUGCAGAGAACAUUUGGAGGAAUUUGAUAUAUUUUGUCCGGAUGAUGAACAAUGCUGCCGAUAAUUCUUCGGUUAAGUUUGCAA
Dendronephthya gigantea is the source of this 301-nucleotide long non-coding RNA. RefSeq lists it as uncharacterized. The transcript is spliced from 3 exons. NCBI's taxonomy places the organism in Eukaryota, Metazoa, Cnidaria, Anthozoa, Malacalcyonacea, Nephtheidae. The record is from RefSeq and is a predicted model, not a curated record.